UCUGCUUUCUUCUGGUCCUCCUCCU
This 25-nucleotide non-coding RNA is filed under the name Rattus norvegicus (Norway rat). Lineage: Eukaryota; Metazoa; Chordata; Mammalia; Rodentia; Muridae. The record is from RNAcentral.